AACGCAAAUUGCACUUCCUGGUAUUCCGGGGAGUAUGCCUGUUUGAGGGUCGCCUAAAAAUAAACAUCGAUUACGUUGCUUUUUUCAUCAAAAAAAAGUUGAUGUUAUCGGAUUUGAGCUUUCUUUAUUUUUUUUUAAUAAAGUGGUUUAAAAUAUUAUUUUUGGUAUCAUCGAAAUUGUAUUUUACGAUCAGUUGAUUAUAAAGAAACGAUUUCGAAUACCACCCUUUAAAUGUAAUACGUUUGAACUAUUGUAGUUGUAUAUAUAUACAUAUAUAUAUUUAAUCUAGUUCCAAUUCGUAUACGAUAUUUUUCAAUUUUUGACCUCAAAUCAGGUAAGAAUACCCGCUGAACUUAA
RNAcentral lists this unclassified non-coding RNA (357 nucleotides) under uncultured Glomerales. Its description in RNAcentral is "sequence contains 5.8S rRNA gene, ITS2, 28S rRNA gene". The record is from RNAcentral. Lineage: Eukaryota; Fungi; Glomeromycota; Glomeromycetes; Glomerales; Glomeraceae.